CUGGCGGUGUGGUUAGACAUGCAAGUCGAACGAGAAGCUCCCUUCGGGUGAGUGGAGAGUGGCGCACGGGUGAGUAACACGUGAGCAACCUGCCGGGAAGCCCGGGAUAGCCCUCCGAAAGGAGGAUUAAUACCGGAUGUGGCCACCCUGCGAUUGCAGGGGAAGCUAAAGGAUUUAUUCACUUCCCGAGGGGCUCGCGGCCCAUCAGCUUGUUGGUGAGGGUAACGGCCCACCAAUGCGACAACGGGUAGCUGGUCUGAGAGGAUGGUCAGCCACACUGGAACUGAGACACGGUCCAGACACCUACGGGUGGCAGCAGUCGAGAAUCAUUCGCAAUGGGGGAAACCCUGACGAUGCGACGCCGCGUGGAGGAUGAAGGCCUUAGGGUUGUAAACUCCUGUCAAGAGGGAAUAAGCAAGUGAAGGUACCUCUAGAGGAAGGGGCGGCUAAUUCCGUGCCAGCAGCCGCGGUAACACGGAAGCCCCGAGCGUUGUUCGGAUUCAUUGGGCGUAAAGGGUGCGUAUGCGGCGCGGAAAGUCCGGCGUGAAAGGCAGAGGCUCAACCUCUGGACUGCGUUGGAUACUUCCGUGCUUGAGGACUGGAGGGGAGACUGGAAUUCACGGUGUAGCAGUGAAAUGCGUAGAUAUCGUGAGGAAGACCGGUGGCGAAGGCGAGUCUCUGGACAGAUCCUGACGCUGAGGCACGAAGGCUGGGGGAGCGAACAGGAUUAGAUACCCUGGUAGUCCCAGCAGUAAACGAUGUGAGCUUGAUGUGGGGGGAUUCGACCCCUUCCGUGUCGAAGCUAACGCGAUAAGCUCACCGCCUGAGGAGUACGGCCGCAAGGCUAAAACUCAAAGAAAUUGACGGGGACCCGCACAAGCGGUGGAGUAUGUGGCUUAAUUCGAUGCAACGCGAAGAACCUUACCUGGCCUUGACAUGCAUUGUGUCGUCGGUGAAAGCCGGCUAGUCCUGGAAACAGGACGCUUUGCACAGGUGCUGCAUGGCUGUCGUCAGCUCGUGUCGUGAGAUGUUGGGUUAAGUCCCGCAACGAGCGCAACCACUUGUGGUCAGUUACUAACCGGCUUAGCCGGAGGACUCUGGCCAGACUGCCCUGUCAAACGGGGAGGAAGGUGGGGACGACGUCAAGUCAGUAUGGC
Molecule: ribosomal RNA, 1157 nt
Filed under: uncultured organism
Description: bacterial SSU rRNA
Rfam family: Bacterial small subunit ribosomal RNA
Source: RNAcentral